AUUGAACGCUGGCGGCAGGCCUAACACAUGCAAGUCGAGCGAGCGGUGGACGGGUGAGAAAUGUCUGGGAAACUGCCGGAUGGAGGGGGAUAACUACAGGAAACGGUAGCUAAUACCGCAUCCAAUCAGAGGUGUCCAGGGGGGAUUAGAUAGUAGGUGGGGUAACGGCUCCCCUAGGCGACGAUCCCUAGCUGGUCUGAGAGGAGGACCAGCCACACUGGAACUGAGACACGGUCCAGACUCCUACGGGAGGCAGCAGUGGGGAUUAUUGCACAAUGGGCGCAAGCCGGAUGCAGCCAUGCCGCUUGUAUGAAGAAGGCCUUCGGGUUGUAAAGCACUUUCAGCGGGGAGGCGUUACCCGCAGAAGAAGCACCGGCUAACUCCGUGCCAGCCGCCGCGGUAAUUC
This 406-nucleotide ribosomal RNA is filed under the name uncultured bacterium. RNAcentral's name for it is "partial 16S ribosomal RNA". It matches the Rfam family "Bacterial small subunit ribosomal RNA", at positions 29 to 526 of the family's 1533-position model. The record is from RNAcentral.